RNAcentral lists this ribosomal RNA (253 nucleotides) under uncultured bacterium. RNAcentral describes it as "partial 16S ribosomal RNA". It matches the Rfam family "Bacterial small subunit ribosomal RNA", at positions 524 to 776 of the family's 1533-position model. The record is from RNAcentral.
UACAGAGGUCUCAAGCGUUGUUCGGAUUCAUUGGGCGUGAAGGGUGCGUAGGUGGCGCUGUAAGUCGGGUGUGAAAUUUCGGAGCUUAACUCCGAAACUGCAUUCGAUACUGCGGUGCUUGAGGACUGGAGAGGAGACUGGAAUUCAUGGUGUAGCAGUGAAAUGCGUAGAGAUCAUGAGGAACACCGGUGGCGAAGGCGGGUCUCUGGGCCGAUACUGACGCUGAGGAGCGAAAGCAUGGGUAGCGAGCAGG